This is a long non-coding RNA of Zophobas morio, 419 nucleotides long. RefSeq lists it as uncharacterized. The record is from RefSeq and is a predicted model, not a curated record. The transcript is spliced from 4 exons. Lineage: Eukaryota; Metazoa; Arthropoda; Insecta; Coleoptera; Tenebrionidae.
UUUUAAAUCUUGAUAAGGUUAUUACCGAUAUGGAAAACCGGAUCCAAGCUAUUAAUAAGGCUAAUAGACAACUAUUAUUGAGUGUCAAAUCGCUUGAUCUUAAACUUAGAAGUCUAGAGGGAGUUGAUGCAGUGGUGGAAAACAUAGUUAAAGAAUGCUCAGUAAACUAUGGCUGUAAUUUUUCUGAACAAAUGGCCUAUGUCUGCGAUAAUACCGUUUUGUUGGCCAAUAAAAUAGUGGAGUUGUUCAACAAGAGUAAUUUCUGUCUUCAUACCCAAAAAAAUUUUGAGGACAUUUUUCACAAAUCAAAAAACCAAAUUAACAUCCCCUCUUUUAAGACAGUGGAGGGACUUUAAAUUGUUAAUAGCAAGUAAACUCUGCACUUGUAGGUAAUGAAGUAUAGAGCUCAAAUAAUCUAC